RNAcentral lists this long non-coding RNA (1939 nucleotides) under Citrus sinensis (sweet orange). RNAcentral's name for it is "long non-coding RNA (CSIN_LNC000879)". The record is from RNAcentral. Lineage: Eukaryota; Viridiplantae; Streptophyta; Magnoliopsida; Sapindales; Rutaceae.
AUGGAAAUUAUAAGCAGGAUAUACCUAGUGCUACCAGUAGAUGAGGUACAACUGAAAAUCCCAAAUUAGCUUAAUGAUAAUCUGAAAGGAAGCGUCCAAUAAAUCAACCAAAAAUAGAAGAGAAAACUCUUCAAGUUCUGAAUCCUCAUCAGAUCAUGUUCAAUAGUGUGCUUCACCAAGGAUACAGUCAGUGUAUCACUUAAAUAUACAAAAUGAAAAGUCAAGUACAAACAUUACUAUCAAAACAUCUCUGGUCAGUCACUCAUUUUUGUAUCUGAUGCAGAGCUAAACUAAAAAGCGUCUCACAGGUACUGAAUGUUUAAUUUGUUUGUCAAGAGAAAAUACUCAGGUUUGACAAUGAAUAAGUAAAAUUUUCAAAUGAAUGUUAAUACCCAUAUAAUGCCGCUACUGGUCUGCCUUUCUCUGCACCAAGUUCCCAAGGUAUAAUUGGACCCCGUAUAAUCAUGUCUGCAUCCAGAAUUACCACCCAAUCAACAUUCUCAGCAUCUUUACUGUGUUUGAGCCAGUGAACAAUUCCAGCAGGUUUGUUAAUUGCAGGAUACCUGCAGAGACCCCCCAAAAAAAAAAGAAAAAAGGUUUACUUUCUUUCUUUCUCACAAGGAAUGGAAGCUCCUGGGUCUUAAACUUUUCAUUUGGAUCUUCAAAUUAAAUAAAUAAAGAAAUGUUAAAGAAGAAGACAAAAAUAGUCGGUCAGUUGCUUCAGAAUUCAGUUCAUCUCUAAAGCAAUACAACUUUUUUCUAGUUUCUUUCUUAUGAUUUUCAAGAUCCAAUGACAUUUAAAAUGGUCCCUAAAGAUAGUUACUAAUAAAAACACAACACAUACAAAUAAUGAUAGUACAAAUGUUAACAAACCAGCAAAGAAGAAAGAAGAAACACACAGACAGACACAGAAGAUGAAUUAUACAUUUAGUGGGCACAUUGAUGAUAUAAUGAGUAGUAAAUAGGAAAGAAAUAUCAUUUCUAAUGGAUUUUCAAAAGAAAUGCAGCAGAAUAAAAAAAACAAAGCAUAUUUAGUGCUAGCAAUUAUCCAAGUACAAUCAGCAAGCCACCGUUUACUCCACAAAAUUCUCAAGGGAAGGUUCCAAUACAUCAACCAAAUUGAGGCGAAAACCAGAAUUCUUAUGUUGCUGUAUUAUAAAGAAGAACCUCACCAUUUGUAAGAAAAAGAAAACUGAAACUAUAAAUGUAAGAUAUAUUUAUUGCUAGUACUAGACAAGAUAAAGCUACCAAGUACCAUUUAGCCUCAAGAAUGUCUCACAGGAGGUUCCAGUACAACAUCCAAAGGAGAGAGAGAGACAAAACCUGAAUUAUCAUAAGUUUAUGUUCUGAAAAAACUUUCCAAUUCCUGGCGAACGAUGGAAAUUAUAAGCAGGAUAUACCUAGUGCUACCAGUAGAUGAGGUACAACUGAAAAUCCCAAAUUAGCUUAAUGAUAAUCUGAAAGGAAGCGUCCAAUAAAUCAACCAAAAAUAGAAGAGAAAACUCUUCAAGUUCUGAAUCCUCAUCAGAUCAUGUUCAAUAGUGUGCUUCACCAAGGAUACAGUCAGUGUAUCACUUAAAUAUACAAAAUGAAAAGUCAAGUACAAACAUUACUAUCAAAACAUCUCUGGUCAGUCACUCAUUUUUGUAUCUGAUGCAGAGCUAAACUAAAAAGCGUCUCACAGGUACUGAAUGUUUAAUUUGUUUGUCAAGAGAAAAUACUCAGGUUUGACAAUGAAUAAGUAAAAUUUUCAAAUGAAUGUUAAUACCCAUAUAAUGCCGCUACUGGUCUGCCUUUCUCUGCACCAAGUUCCCAAGGUAUAAUUGGACCCCGUAUAAUCAUGUCUGCAUCCAGAAUUACCACCCAAUCAACAUUCUCAGCAUCUUUACUGUGUUUGAGCCAGUGAACAAUUCCAGCAGGUUUGUUAAUUGCAGGAUAC